This 1416-nucleotide ribosomal RNA is filed under the name Triticum aestivum (bread wheat). RNAcentral describes it as "partial small subunit ribosomal RNA". The record is from RNAcentral. Lineage: Eukaryota; Viridiplantae; Streptophyta; Magnoliopsida; Poales; Poaceae.
AUGCGUCAAGUACAAGAGCUUCUCGACAAAGGAGGCAUUAAUAAUAUUACUAUUCGUUAUCGUCAUCCUAUUCCUAGGCUAGAUGAUAUGCUUGAUGAAUUGAGUGGCUCUACAAUUUUCUCCAAAGUUGAUUUGCGUAGUGGUUACCAUCAAAUUCGUAUGAAAUUGGGAGAUGAAUGGAAAACAGCAUUUAAAACUAAGUUUGGAUUAUAUGAGUGGUUAGUCAUGCCUUUUGGGUUAACUAAUGCACCUAGUACUUUCAUGAGAUUAAUGAACGAAGUUUUACGUGCUUUCAUUGGACGAUUUGUGGUAGUUUACUUUGAUGACAUAUUGAUUUAUAGCAGAUCUUUGGAAGAACAUUUGGAACAUUUACGUGCUAUUUUUAUUGCUCUACGUGAUGCACGUUUGUUUGGUAACCUUGGGAAGUGCACCUUUUGCACCAACCGAGCAUCUUUUCUUGGCUAUGUUGUUACUCCACAGGGAAUUGAAGUUGAUAAAGCCAAGAUUGAAGCUAUUGAGAGUUGGCCGCAGCCCAAAACGGUCACACAAGUGAGGAGUUUUCUUGGCCUCGCUGGAUUCUAUAGGCGUUUUGUGAGAGAUUUUAGCACCAUUGCUGCACCUCUCAAUGAGCUUACAAAGAAAGAUGUGCCUUUUCUUUGGGGUACCGCACAGGAAGAAGCCUUCACGGUAUUGAAAGAUAAGUUGACACAUGCUCCUUUACUCCAACUUCCUGAUUUUAAUAAGACUUUUGAGCUUGAAUGUGAUGCUAGUGGAAUUGGAUUAGGAGGUGUGUUAUUACAAGAUGGCAAACCUGUUGCAUACUUUUCUGAAAAAUUGAGUGGGCCUAGUCUGAAUUAUUCUACUUAUGAUAAAGAAUUAUAUGCUCUUGUUCGGACUUUAGAAACAUGGCAACAUUAUUUAUGGCCCAAAGAAUUUGUUAUACAUUCUGAUCAUGAAUCUUUGAAACAUAUUAAAAGUCAAGCUAAACUGAAUCGUAGACAUGCUAAAUGGGUUGAAUUCAUUGAGACUUUCCCUUAUGUCAUUAAACACAAGAAGGGAAAAGAAAAUGUUAUUGCUGAUGCAUUGUCUCGUCGCUAUACUAUGCUUUCACAACUUGACUUCAAAAUAUUUGGUUUGGAGACUAUCAAAGAUCAAUAUGUGCAUGAUGCUGAUUUUAAAGAUGUAAUGCGGAAUUGUAAAGAAGGAAGAAUAUGGAACAAGUUUGUUGUUAACGAUGGAUUUGUGUUUCGUGCUAACAAGCUAUGCAUUCCAGCUAGCUCCGUUCAUCUUUUGUUGUUGCAGGAGGCGCAUGGAGGAGGAUUAAUGGGACACUUUGGCGUGAAGAAGACGGAGGACGUACUUGCUACACAUUUCUUUUGGCCAAAGAUGAGACGGGAUGUUGAGCGGCUGUUUUGA